GUGCCAGACUCCUACGGGAGGCAGCAGUGGGGAAUUUUGGACAAUGGGCGCAAGCCUGAUCCAGCUAUUCCGCGUGUGGGAUGACGGCCCUCGGGUUGUAAACCCCUUUAGUAGAGAACGAAAAGGAGCUAUCGAAUAAAUAGCUCUGCUGACGGUACUCUAAGAAUAAGCACCGGCUAACUACGUGCCAGCAGCCGCGGUAAUACGUAGGGUGCGAGCGUUAUCCGGAUUUACUGGGUGUAAAGGGCGAGUAGACGGCGUUGCAAGUCAGAUGUGAAAACCUAGGGCUCAACCGUAGGACUGCAUCUGAAACUGUAAUGCUAGAGUGCAGGAGAGGUAAGCGGAAUUCCUAGUGUAGCGGUGAAAUGCGUAGAUAUUAGGAGGAGCACCAGUGGCGAAGGCGGCUUACUGGACUGUAACUGACGUUGAGGCUCGAAAGCGUGGGGAGCAAACAGGAUUAGAUACCCCGGUAGA
This 474-nucleotide ribosomal RNA is filed under the name uncultured bacterium. Its description in RNAcentral is "bacterial SSU rRNA". It matches the Rfam family "Bacterial small subunit ribosomal RNA", at positions 328 to 794 of the family's 1533-position model. The record is from RNAcentral.